GUACAAUGUCACGAUCCAUUGUAAGGAUAAUACAUGAGGUACACAUGUCUCUUCCAGCUAUAUAUGUAUAGAAAUACACACACAUAUAUUUUCCCUACUUCUCAUCAACUUCUCCAUGUAGGAGUACAUACACCUGGUAAUACUUAUUUACUUUUUUUUUCUUGCUUUUAUUUUUUUCCACUCAUGUGUAAGAACAUAUUACAAGACUAGUAAUGUAAAAAUGGGUAUUAUGGGAAGAGACAACUGAUCAUGGUUAUAGUAAACAUAACAUAUAAAACCGGCAAAAAUAAGUUAAAACUCCAAG
Molecule: long non-coding RNA, 304 nt
Filed under: Physcomitrium patens
Lineage: Eukaryota; Viridiplantae; Streptophyta; Bryopsida; Funariales; Funariaceae
Description: long non-coding RNA (PPAT_LNC005718)
Source: RNAcentral